CCUACGGGUGGCAGCAGUAGGGAAUCUUCCACAAUGGGCGAAAGCCUGAUGGAGCAAAGCCGCGUGGGUGAAGAAGGUCCUCGGAUCGUAAAACCCUGUUGUUAGAGAAGAAAGUGCGUGAGAGUAACUGUUCACGUUUCGACGGUAUCUAACAAGAAAGCCACGGCUAACUACGUGACAGCCGCCGCGGUAAUACGUAGGUGCCAAGCGUUAUCCGGAUUGAUUGGGCGUAAAGGGAACGCAGGUGGUCUUUUAAGUCUGAUGUGAAAGCUUUCGGCUUAACCGGAGUAGUGCAUUGGAUACUGGGAGACUUGAGUGCAGAAGAGGAGAGUGGAACUCGAGGUGUAGCGGUGAAAUGCGUAGAUAUAUGGAAGAACACCAGUGGCGAAAGCAGCUCUCUAGUCUGUAACUGACGCUGAUGUUCGAAAGCGUGGGUAGCAAACAGGAUUAGAUACCCUUGUAGUC
Molecule: ribosomal RNA, 465 nt
Filed under: uncultured bacterium
Lineage: Bacteria
Description: partial 16S ribosomal RNA
Rfam family: Bacterial small subunit ribosomal RNA
Source: RNAcentral